RNAcentral lists this ribosomal RNA (511 nucleotides) under Campylobacter coli. RNAcentral's name for it is "bacterial SSU rRNA". It matches the Rfam family "Bacterial small subunit ribosomal RNA", at positions 1014 to 1533 of the family's 1533-position model. RNAcentral also lists the same sequence under 1 other name. Lineage: Bacteria; Pseudomonadati; Campylobacterota; Epsilonproteobacteria; Campylobacterales; Campylobacteraceae. The record is from RNAcentral.
AGCUUGCUAGAACUUAGAGACAGGUGCUGCACGGCUGUCGUCAGCUCGUGUCGUGAGAUGUUGGGUUAAGUCCCGCAACGAGCGCAACCCACGUAUUUAGUUGCUAACGGUUCGGCCGAGCACUCUAAAUAGACUGCCUUCGUAAGGAGGAGGAAGGUGUGGACGACGUCAAGUCAUCAUGGCCCUUAUGCCCAGGGCGACACACGUGCUACAAUGGCAUAUACAAUGAGACGCAAUACCGCGAGGUGGAGCAAAUCUAUAAAAUAUGUCCCAGUUCGGAUUGUUCUCUGCAACUCGAGAGCAUGAAGCCGGAAUCGCUAGUAAUCGUAGAUCAGCCAUGCUACGGUGAAUACGUUCCCGGGUCUUGUACUCACCGCCCGUCACACCAUGGGAGUUGAUUUCACUCGAAGCCGGAAUACUAAACUAGUUACCGUCCACAGUGGAAUCAGCGACUGGGGUGAAGUCGUAACAAGGUAACCGUAGGAGAACCUGCGGUUGGAUCACCUCCUUU